GAUGAACGCUGGCGGCGUGCCUAAUACAUGCAAGUCGAGCGAACAGAUGAGGAGCUUGCUCCUCUGACGUUAGCGGCGGACGGGUGAGUAACACGUGGAUAACCUACCUAUAAGACUGGGAUAACUUCGGGAAACCGGAGCUAAUACCGGAUAAUAUAUUGAACCGCAUGGUUCAAUAGUGAAAGACGGUUUUGCUGGCACUUAUAGAUGGAUCCGCGCCUCAUUAGCUAGUUGGUAAGGUAACGGCUUACCAAGGCAACGAUGCGUAGCCGACCUGAGAGGGUGAUCGGCCACACUGGAGCUGAGACACGGUCAAGACUCCUACGGGAGGCAGCAGUAGGGAAUCUUACGCAAUGGGGGAAAGCCUGACGGAGCAACGCCGCGUGAGUGAUGAAGGUCUUCGGAUCGUAAAACUCUGUUAUUAGGGAAGAACAAAUGUGUAAGUAACUAUGCACGUAUUGACGGUACCUAAUCAGAAAGCCACGGCUAACUACGUG
This 497-nucleotide ribosomal RNA is filed under the name uncultured bacterium. RNAcentral describes it as "partial 16S ribosomal RNA". It matches the Rfam family "Bacterial small subunit ribosomal RNA", at positions 28 to 507 of the family's 1533-position model. The record is from RNAcentral.